This 305-nucleotide ribosomal RNA is filed under the name uncultured bacterium. RNAcentral's name for it is "bacterial SSU rRNA". It matches the Rfam family "Bacterial small subunit ribosomal RNA", at positions 333 to 655 of the family's 1533-position model. The record is from RNAcentral.
ACUAGCCUACGGGGCGCAGCAGUGGGGAAUAUUGCACAAUGGGGGGAACCCUGAUGCAGCAAUGCCGCGUGGGUGAAGAAGCACUCCGGUGCGUAAAGCCCUGUCAGCAGGGAAGAAAAUGACAGUACCUGACCAAGAAGCCCCGGCUAACUACGUGCCAGCAGCCGCGGUAAUACGUAGGGGGCAAGCGUUAUCCGGAUUUACUGGGUGUAAAGGGAGCGCAGGCGGCGUGGCAAGUCAGAUGUGAAAACCCGGGGCUCAACCCCGGGAGUGCAUUUGAAACUGCCAUGCUGGAGUGCCGGAGG